UGGGGAAUAUUGCACAAUGGGCGCAAGCCUGAUGCAGCAACGCCGCGUGAAGGAAGACGGUUUUCGGAUUGUAAACUUCUGUUCUUAGUGAAGAAUAAUGACGGUAGCUAAGGAGCAAGCCACGGCUAACUACGUGCCAGCAGCCGCGGUAAUACGUAGGUGGCAAGCGUUGUCCGGAAUUACUGGGUGUAAAGGGAGCGCAGGCGGGUGAUCAAGUCAGCUGUGAAAACUACGGGCUUAACCCGUAGACUGCAGUUGAAACUGUUCAUCUUGAGUGAAGUAGAGGUUGGCGGAAUUCCGAGUGUAGCGGUGAAAUGCGUAGAUAUUCGGAGGAACACCGGUGGCGAAGGCGGCCAACUGGGCUUUAACUGACGCUGAGGCUCGAAAGUGUGGGGAGCAAACA
RNAcentral lists this ribosomal RNA (403 nucleotides) under uncultured bacterium. RNAcentral describes it as "bacterial SSU rRNA". It matches the Rfam family "Bacterial small subunit ribosomal RNA", at positions 355 to 774 of the family's 1533-position model. RNAcentral also lists the same sequence under 1 other name. The record is from RNAcentral.